This 292-nucleotide ribosomal RNA is filed under the name uncultured Methylobacterium sp. RNAcentral's name for it is "partial 16S ribosomal RNA". It matches the Rfam family "Bacterial small subunit ribosomal RNA", at positions 505 to 796 of the family's 1533-position model. Lineage: Bacteria; Pseudomonadati; Pseudomonadota; Alphaproteobacteria; Hyphomicrobiales; Methylobacteriaceae. The record is from RNAcentral.
AUGUCAGCCGCCGCGGUAAUACGAAGGGGGCUAGCGUUGCUCGGAAUCACUGGGCGUAAAGGGCGCGUAGGCGGCCAUUCAAGUCGGGGGUGAAAGCCUGUGGCUCAGCCACAGAAUUGCCUUCGAUACUGUUUGGCUUGAGUUUGGUAGAGGUUGGUGGAACUGCGAGUGUAGAGGUGAAAUUCGUAGAUAUUCGCAAGAACACCAGUGGCGAAGGCGGCCAACUGGACCAAUACUGACGCUGAGGCGCGAAAGCGUGGGGAGCAAACAGGAUUAGAAACCCUGGUAGUCC